ACAUACUUACCAAAUCGUUCGAUCACAUAAGCCUUCUUUUCGGGGACAAUUCGAAUACCCCAAUUGAUAGGAGGAGUAAUCUCAUAGCUAUGAAAAUGAACAAAGGUUAGAAAAUCAAAUAAAAAAUAAAUGAAAAAAUAUGGAGAGAAAGUAGAAGGUAUGCAGGGGGAGUAUAGAGAAGUCACCUGAUGUUGGGAUCUCGACCAGUGCGAAGAUAGCGGAUGGUGGUGGCAGAAAAGAGAGGAUGUGAGAUCAGAGAAGAAGGUCGAGGAGAAAAAGGGUUGUUGGAGAUGAGAAAUGAAGAACGCGUCGGAGUCAAUGGCGAAAGGGUGGAGAGAUGUCUGGAAUGGGCAAUGAAUUGGAGAAAUCUAAGGGUGGAAGAAGCAUUGGGCUUGAAACUAUUCAUCAUGUCUGGAGCGAAUGAAGAAGGAUAAAGUAAAGCCCUAGUAAAUUUAAAUCCUCGAGGUUUUAGAACAAGAAGAAGUAGACCCCAGCUCAACUUUUCCUUUCUUGCAGCUGAAGCCUGAAGAAGACGAAGAUAUCGACAGUUCACACACACACCCCGACUCCUGAGUCCUCCUACUACCACUCUUUACCGAAUACAUUCUAAAAUUAUACAAAAUACUCCGACUAUACUCCACCCACGUUUUCUUUCUUUUCCAA
This 663-nucleotide long non-coding RNA is filed under the name Cucumis sativus (cucumber). RNAcentral's name for it is "long non-coding RNA (CSAT_LNC001453)". Lineage: Eukaryota; Viridiplantae; Streptophyta; Magnoliopsida; Cucurbitales; Cucurbitaceae. The record is from RNAcentral.